GCGCUAACGCGACUUCUCGGCGCCAUUUUGUCCCGGUAGCGGUGGCUGCAGCUCUAUCGCAUUUUAUGUUUCUGGCGUGAAGGAAGCGGAGUCGUUGUCCGGUAGAUCAGUCUUAGUGCGGAACCCACCCCUAGUUCGCUCCAGUACAGCGCGUCGUGAAGUUCAGAGGAGUCGCAGAGCUGUCGAAAAGGUCGCUUGGAGGCUGUGGUCGUCUGACUGACGGGGGGUGGGGGGGCGCAGCUCUGGAGGCUUCUUCGGCACCGGAAGUGAAGGCGCCGCCUGCAGCCAUGUUGUACUGAAGAAAAAAGGACAUCUUGGUGACAGUACCUCAAGCAGAGGCAUUUGUGAUAGAAAUACAAGCAAAUGGAUGAGUCUUACCAGAUAAGUACCUUUUGUAUUCUAAAAUUCAUUUUAUGUGUAACAGCUAAAGCAAAACUGUUCUUUACAAUGUGUUUUUUUUUUCUUUUAGAUAGCAGGAUCAAGAUGACAUAUAAUAACAAGCCCUUUCACGUACUACAUCCUCAUGAGCUUGUGUGUGUUACUGGGGAGCAAACUCAAGGCCUCACAUAUGCUAAAAGCAAGCACUACACCACUGAACUGUACUCCAGCCCAUACGUACUACUUAUUUUGGGCCUAAAUGGUGGACAUUUGCUUUUUUUGUAUUUUUUAUUUUACAGACUAAGAAAAUUUUAAGUGACAGAAUAGAAACUGUAUUUAUCCUCGAAACUACUUCUGCUCACAAUAAUAAAGGAAAAGAACAAAAUCAGUGACUCUUUGUUAGCCUUUCCUGUUGCUAAGAAAAAUUACCCAACACACACACACACACACACACAACCAGAGAAGGGGGGGAGACACAGCCCAGCUGUCUCUUUCUGUCAUACACAUACACACACACCCGAGGGGGGAGGAGCCAGAGACAGGAAUACCCCCUUUAUUGUCCCUAGUGACCCUCCUAUUCUGAUCGGCCUCCCCUUCCAAAAGCAGUCUGCUGUAGACUACCAGUGAUGAGUUCAGUAGUGAAUACAGUGCCCCCUUGAUUCCAGUUACAUUCCCUGAUCACUGCCUGUAACCAUGAGAUUUAUAAAACUGAAAACACCUUGUUUUGCUCACACAUUAAGGACUGCCUGAUGACUACCAGUUAUUUCACUAAGUUCGAAAGUGGCCAAUAAUUUCAGUCAUUUCCUUAAUAAACUGAUGGAAUGUGUCUGAUUUGAAAGCCUCAUUU
Chinchilla lanigera (long-tailed chinchilla) is the source of this 1225-nucleotide long non-coding RNA. RefSeq lists it as uncharacterized. The transcript has 4 exons. The record is from RefSeq and is a predicted model, not a curated record. Lineage: Eukaryota; Metazoa; Chordata; Mammalia; Rodentia; Chinchillidae.